GCGAGGCCGGCCUGGGGAUAGCGAUGCUCGGGUUCCCCCCGGGUCGCCCGCAGCUCCCGGUCCAGCUCCGCCCACAGACUCGGAUGGCGACCGCACUGAGGGACCCGGCUUCGGCUGUUCAGUGGAAGAAAAGACUUUAGAGAUGGAUGAGGACGUUGAGGCAGAGGGAGGUUGAAUAUUUUUCCAAGGCCACACAACUGGUGAGAGGCAGCACUAAGGACCGAGGCGCACAGGUUAGACAGUCGACCCAAAGUUACGUGGCUCUGGGCCGGGGCAAGGGUACAGGGAAGGCCUGUGCCCAUGGAGCACUGCCAUGAUCACAUUCCUCUGAGGCCUGCGUCUUUCCACAGGUUCCCAUAGCUACAGAGGUGCUUUUCAAACUUACACAGGUAAGUGGAGGUAUCUCAGCCCCUCACUGGUCUGGAAUGUCCCUCCACCCUCCCCAG
RNAcentral lists this long non-coding RNA (446 nucleotides) under Homo sapiens (human). RNAcentral describes it as "HSALNT0262941". The record is from RNAcentral. Lineage: Eukaryota; Metazoa; Chordata; Mammalia; Primates; Hominidae.